ACUCAAGCGUUAUCCGGAUUUAUUGGGCGUAAAGCGCAUGUAGGAGGUUUUGUGCGUCCUUGGUUAAAGCCCACCGCUCAACGGUGGAANUGCCCGGGAUACGGCAGAACUAGAGGGAGUUAGAGGUGAAUGGAACCCACGGUGUAGGGGUGAAAUCCGUUGAUAUCGUGGGGAACACCAAAGGCGAAGGCAGUUCACUGGGACUUUCCUGACUCUGANAUGCGAAAGCGUGGGGAGCAAAAAGGAUUAGAUACCCUUGUAGUCCACGCCCUAAACGAUGCCUGUUAGCUGUUUCGAGUAUCGACCCUCGGGGUGGCGUUAGCUAACGCGUUAAACAGGCCGCCUGGGAAGUUACGAACGCAAGCUUAAAACUCAAAGGAAUAGACGGGGACUCCCCACAAGCGGUGGAACAUGANGUUUUAAUUCGACGGUACGCGAAGAACCUUACCAGGUUUUGAAAUUCUAGUUGAAACCCGUGGAAACAUUGCCUCUCUCCAGGACCUAUUCAGUGCUGCAUGUU
Molecule: ribosomal RNA, 520 nt
Filed under: uncultured bacterium
Lineage: Bacteria
Description: bacterial SSU rRNA
Rfam family: Bacterial small subunit ribosomal RNA
Source: RNAcentral